This 228-nucleotide unclassified non-coding RNA is filed under the name uncultured fungus. Its description in RNAcentral is "sequence contains ITS1, 5.8S rRNA gene". The stretch from base 180 to 228 matches the Rfam family "5.8S ribosomal RNA", at positions 1 to 49 of the family's 154-position model. The record is from RNAcentral. Lineage: Eukaryota; Fungi.
UCUCCGUAGGUGAACCUGCGGAGGGAUCAUUACUGAGAGAGGGUCUCCGGUCCCGACCUCCAACCUUGUGUGAACCAAACUUGUUGCUUCGGGGGCGACCCUGCCGCUUCGGCGGUGCGGCGCCCCCGGAGGCCAUUAAACACUGCAUCAUUGCGUCGGAGUUAAAGUAAAUUAAACAAAACUUUCAACAACGGAUCUCUUGGUUCUAGCAUCGAUGAAGAACGCAGC